This 1956-nucleotide ribosomal RNA is filed under the name Triticum aestivum (bread wheat). Its description in RNAcentral is "partial small subunit ribosomal RNA". The record is from RNAcentral. Lineage: Eukaryota; Viridiplantae; Streptophyta; Magnoliopsida; Poales; Poaceae.
AUGAUCAGCAGAGAAUAUCAUGACAGAUUUCUGCAGAUUCCCUGUCAGCCCAAGGGCAGACAUGAUUACCGGCAUCUCUCUUUUUGGUGUCUUCUUUUGGUCCGGCAAAGAUGCUUCAUGGUGCACAAAAAUGUACUAAAACUAUCACUACUUUAUCAGGCCGCUUGUGUACAUAUAUGUAUCGGCGGCCCUGAGUCUUCUUCACUGAAUCACCAUUUCCUCCUGGAGCUGCUUUGCCAAGUUCACAUGGCUGGACUAGCUUCCCAGGUGAAGAGAUACUGUGACUGUUACAAGAGAUAUGCGGGCCAUUUGGAUGGAAAGAUGAGGUGUUUCCGCGGGCGCAUGACUGCUAAUUUUAGACAUGGCAUGGUUAUACCGUACAAGUUCAUCGACCAUUUCGGAGGAAAUAUCUCAAGGACCAUCGAACUGGAAUCCCGUAACGGCAGCAUGUACACCAUUAAAGUCUCCAAGCUUAUGAAUGAAACGGUCCUCCGGUGGCAUGGAUGGGAGGCAUUUGUCGAUGCGCAUGGCGUCGAGGAGAACGACUCGUUGCUGUUUCGCCACAUUGAGAAGUCGCGUUUCGAGGUCCUGGUGCUCGACUCCGAUGACUGUGAGAAAGUGCUUCCCUCUGCUGGCAUCAAAGUUGCUUCUUGUAAUGUUCAAGAAAGCGGCAGCAUGGAUUAUAUUGAUAUAUCAAGCAGCUCGGGUGAUGAUACCACAAGGUCGCCAGGGAGCCAACGAUUUGCUGCGUGUGAAAGAGGCGACUCGAGCCAUCCAAGAAAAACUGCUCUAAAAAACGACUCCUCGUCUGAGGAGGAUUCAGGAGAAGACACUGAUGCUGCUGAGGAACAUUCUGAACAUGAAUUAUCUUUUGAGCUAGAUGAUAUACGUCAGACACCUUGUGCAGGGCGCGCCUAUGUCUUGUCUCGGUGUGGUCAUCUGUCUGGAGCUCAGGAGGAGAGAGUAACUAGGUUUCUCCAGGAUGUUCGAGCUGAGACUCCGGUGUUCGUGGCCAUCAUGAAAAUGAGCACACAGAAUCGCACUAUUGUGAUCCCCAAGCUGUUUGCAGAGGAGCGCUUCCCGCGUGAAAGCCAGAACCUGACGCUGCAGCGCCCGGGCAAGAGCAAGAAAUGGCACCCGUGGUUUUCCAUCAGGAAGGAUCGAUGUGGGCACGUCCUCACCGGGUCUCGCUGGGUAGGCUUCCUCCGUGACAAUGGUGUGCAGGAGGGAGAUCUCUGCGUCUUCCAACCAGUGCAGGGCACUGGCACCAGGAGCAAAUUCACAGUCCAUCUGCUUCACGAGUCCUUGGGUGCAAGUGGAAGUACUGGUCCGAAGAAAAGAGUAGGAUGCACUACUACUCAUGGUAACACAAGGGUGAACUCGGGUGCCCCUGAAAGAGCGACCACUGCUCAUGGUCAUGGUGCAACAACAAUCGCAAAGGCGGCGCCACCCACCCCAACAACCCUCCGUGUCAACAAGCAGCACGAUGAUGGGUGCAACCAUGGUCGUGAGCGAGCACGCCAACAACCAAAGCCGCUGCGCCCCUACAUAUUGUCAUCCACCGCACGCCUGACUGAGGAGCAGGAGAGGGAGGUGGACCGGACAGCCCGCGCCAUCGGGUCUCGGGUUCCUGCCUACGUCUCGGUGAUGAACAGGAGCAGCGUCGGCGUGGGCAACGGGAUCUACAACGUAACCAUUUCCGGGGCGUAUGCUGCCGAUUACCUUCCGGACGGGGAGCGGGUUGCCGUGACGCUCGUGAGGAGGAAGAAAGAGUGGGAGGUCGAGAUGUGCACGCGCGGCGGCGGGCGGACGCUGGCGUGGGGCUGGCGUGGUUUUGCCCGUGACAACCGGCUGCGGGUGCAGGACGUGUGCCUGUUCCAGCCCAUGGAGAAGAACCGCAGGAGCCUUGCCAUGGCGGUCCACAUCAUCCGUCACUGUCGCAAGCGAAAGCAGUAG